This 484-nucleotide ribosomal RNA is filed under the name uncultured bacterium. RNAcentral describes it as "partial 16S ribosomal RNA". It matches the Rfam family "Bacterial small subunit ribosomal RNA", at positions 30 to 507 of the family's 1533-position model. The record is from RNAcentral.
AUUGAACGCUGGCGGCAGGCCUAACACAUGCAAGUCGAGCGGAUGAAGGGAGCUUGCUCCUGGAUUCAGCGGCGGACGGGUGAGUAAUGCCUAGGAAUCUGCCUGGUAGUGGGGGAUAACGUCCGGAAACGGGCACUAAUACCGCAUACGUCCUGAGAGAGAAAGUGGGGGAUCUUCGGACCUCACGCUAUCAGAUGAGCCUAGGUCGGAUUAGCUAGUUGGUGGGGUAAAGGCCUACCAAGGCGACGAUCCGUAACUGGUCUGAGAGGAUGAUCAGUCACACUGGAACUGAGACACGGUCCAGACUCCUACGGGAGGCAGCAGUGGGGAAUAUUGGACAAUGGGCGAAAGCCUGAUCCAGCCAUGCCGCGUGUGUGAAGAAGGUCUUCGGAUUGUAAAGCACUUUAAGUUGGGAGGAAGGGCAGUAAGUUAAUACCUUGCUGUUUUGACGUUACCAACAGAAUAAGCACCGGCUAACUUCGUG